UGCGGGGUAGAGCAGAGGCAGCUCGUCGGGCUCAUAACCCGGAGGUCAGAGGUUCGAAUCCUCUCCCCGCUA
This 72-nucleotide transfer RNA is filed under the name Pseudomonadota bacterium. RNAcentral's name for it is "tRNA-Met". It matches the Rfam family "tRNA". From Rfam's summary of the family: Transfer RNA (tRNA) molecules are approximately 80 nucleotides in length. Their secondary structure includes four short double-helical elements and three loops (D, anti-codon, and T loops). Lineage: Bacteria; Pseudomonadati; Pseudomonadota. RNAcentral also lists the same sequence under 1 other name. The record is from RNAcentral.